RNAcentral lists this ribosomal RNA (253 nucleotides) under uncultured bacterium. RNAcentral's name for it is "partial 16S ribosomal RNA". It matches the Rfam family "Bacterial small subunit ribosomal RNA", at positions 78 to 334 of the family's 1533-position model. The record is from RNAcentral.
UCUUUCUUUGCUGGCGACCGGCGCACGGGUGAGUAACACGUAUCCAACCUGCCCUUACUCGGGGAUAGCUUUCGAAAGAAAGAUUAAUACCCGAUAGUAUAAUGAUUCCGCAUGGUUUCAUUAUUAAAGGAUUCCGGUAAAGGAUGGGGAUGCGUUCCAUUAGGUUGUUGGUGAGGUAACGGCUCACCAAGCCUUCGAUGGAUAGGGGUUCUGAGAGGAAGGUCCCCCACAUUGGAACUGAGACACGGUCCAA